RNAcentral lists this ribosomal RNA (407 nucleotides) under uncultured bacterium. RNAcentral describes it as "partial 16S ribosomal RNA". It matches the Rfam family "Bacterial small subunit ribosomal RNA", at positions 28 to 526 of the family's 1533-position model. The record is from RNAcentral.
GACGAACGCUGGCGGCAGGCCUAACACAUGCAAGUCGAGCGGAGCGGCGGACGGGUGAGUAAUGCCUAGGAAUCUGCCUGGUAGUGGGGGAUAACGUCCGGAAACGGGCGCUAAUACCGCAUACUAUCAGAUCAGCCUAGGUCGGAUUAGCUAGUUGGUGGGGUAAAGGCCUACCAAGGCGACGAUCCGUAACUGGUCUGAGAGGCUGAUCAGUCAACAUGGGACUGGGAACAGGGCCCGACUCCCACGGGAGGAAGCAGUGGGGAAUAUUGGACAAUGGGGGGAAGCCCUGUCCAGCCAAGCCGCGUGAGUGAGGACGGCCUUCGGGUUGUAAAGCUCUGUGAAUCGGGAGACGGUACCGGAAGAGAAAGCAACGGCUAACUACGUGCCAGCAGCCGCGGUAAUUC